RNAcentral lists this ribosomal RNA (302 nucleotides) under uncultured bacterium. RNAcentral describes it as "partial 16S ribosomal RNA". It matches the Rfam family "Bacterial small subunit ribosomal RNA", at positions 508 to 807 of the family's 1533-position model. The record is from RNAcentral.
GCAGCCGCCGCGGGAAAACAGAGGGUGCGAGCGUUAAUCGGAUUUACUGGGCGUAAAGCGUGCGUAGGCGGCUUCUUAAGUCGGAUGUGAAAUCCCUGAGCUUAACUUAGGAAUUGCAUUCGAUACUGGGAAGCUAGAGUAUGGGAGAGGAUGGUAGAAUUCCAGGUGUAGCGGUGAAAUGCGUAGAGAUCUGGAGGAAUACCGAUGGCGAAGGCAGCCAUCUGGCCUAAUACUGACGCUGAGGUACGAAAGCAUGGGGAGCAAACAGGAUUAGAUACCCGGGUAGUCCCUGUCUCUUAUAC